MicroRNA precursor from Oryza sativa Japonica Group (Japanese rice), 209 nucleotides. It matches the Rfam family "MIR812 microRNA precursor family". Lineage: Eukaryota; Viridiplantae; Streptophyta; Magnoliopsida; Poales; Poaceae. The record is from Rfam.
AAUAAGUAUAGUUUUAGUAUUAUUUAUAUUCAACGUUUGACCAUUCGUCUUAUUUAAAAAAAAUUACGAUUAAUAUUUUUAUUGUUAUUAGAUGAUAAAACAUAAAUAGUAUUUUAUGUGUGACUAAUUUUUUAAAUAUUUUCUAUAAAUUUUUUAAAUAAGACGGAUGGUCAAAGCGCUAAAUACUAAUAUCUAUGGCUGCACUUAUU